CAAAUUCUCUGUUAUCUCUUGAGAUCAAAAAAAAAAAAGAAGCCCUAAUCUCACUGCUCUCUCCCUCCCUCUCACUCACCCAGUCGUCACGCUAUCUCUCUGGCGGGGGCUGCGACGACGAGAGGAGACGGUUGUGAAAUCUGGAUGCCUGCGACGAGGUUUGAUAAAUUAGCCUCUAACCUUCUCUUUCCCCCUCUCUCCCUCCCUCCUUCCUAUAUCCUUUGGAUCCCACGUUUCUGAACCUGCGCUCCUCUUCGCGAACACCUUCUGCUUCAUUCUCUGGAUUUCUGAGGUACUUUCACAUCUGGGUUUCUCUUAAUUUUGUUUGGUUUACUUUCAAUCUUUUAAAUUGAAAGUAAAGAGAGGGUUUGAAGGGGAAGGGUUUCAAACGGUGAUCUCUCUUCAACGGCGAGACAGUUCGAUGGUACAACAAAACUGGUUCGGUGGUGGCAACGAUCGACGAGACUGGCAGCAGGUGAAUGGUUUACAGCCCGAGUCUCUGCUUGUGGACUAUUUCAUAUUGCUUACCCUAGUGCCUCAGAGAUGUUAAAGACAGAAUUACGGUCAAUAUACAGCCAGUUGUGUCAGGAUGACAUGCCUAUGGUGAGGAGGUCUGCUGCAACAAACUUGGGGAAGUUUGCUGCAACUGUUGAACCUGCUCAUCUCAAGACUGACGUCAUGUCAAUAUUUGAGGAUCUUACACAGGAUGGUAAGUGCUUUUUUAUACGCUAGGCCACAACAGUCUUAAUUUUCCAACUUAUGAUCAGGUACAUAUUGAGGGAUGCAUGGAUUGGUCCAACUGUGAUAAACAUUUGGCAAGCUUUAGUUAGCAGAUUGCCAACCUCUAGCAGCGGAGGUGAUUUUUUACCCAUGCUUGGAACAUUCAAAGCUGGAAUAUUUAUUGGAACCAUAUGAUAAGGGUGGAUGUGAUGAAUUAGGACCACAAUAACUGAAUAUGUAACUGUAGUAGGCAAUCUAAAUGUGGAUGAGAUGAAGAAUGGGGAAGAGGGAAUGGAUAGUUGUAUUGUAGGUGUAGAUGCCAGCUAGCUCAGACGGUGAAAUCUUCACAAAGAAAAACCAGCAAAUAUCCCAAGAUGCACAAAAUAGAUAAAAUCGUACUAAUAAGUAUUUGGACUCAAGAAAUGAAGGUUUAUUAGUCUAUAGCCGAAGACCUGGGUUGCAUUGUUAAAAGAAACUGAAAAUUGAAGCUUAACAGAAAGUAAAAGAUUAUCAAUGGAAAAUUGUUGCUUUUGGUAACAUGCAAAAUCAAGUGGGUAAUACCAAAGCUUGUUGAGAAAGCUAUUAGCCUCAGAGAAAACGUGAAAGCUGCACGAACCGAAACAACUAAGCAGUUAAGGCUCUGAUUAUUCACAUUUUCAUUUUCUCCGCAUGUAUUGGUUAGACAAUGUUGCCAGUGAGCUUCAUAUAGAAUUCUUAAUUUGUUUCCUGUAGUGGGUGUGAUCUUGUUUUCUUGUUAUCGUGCUUUGCAUUACAAUAUGCUAGCACUGUAGUACUCUCUCUUCCUUUCUUUGAUUUGUCAAUUUUUAUUUGCACAAUAGAGAAUAAAUCUUUUUCAUUCUGCAUCUUUCAACCAUUAAUCACUAAUGCCAGCUAUUUGGAAUUAUGAUGCAGCUGGUGCAUAAAAGCAUGGAACUUCAUGAUUGAUCAUUCUGGUUUUCUCUGUGACAUAAAACAAUGGGUCUUAAGAUUUUUAUAUUCAAUUUUUUACCCUUCCUGGAGUGUAUAUUCUCUUGUUACUUCUAUCAUUUGCUAUCUAUGUUUGAUUUGCACACAUCAAGGCAUUUUUAUUUCUUUAUGGUCAUUCCAUAUUCACAAACCCUCGGAGUUUGAAUGGCAUUGAUUAGUUGAAGGAUGAUGGUUGACUUCUGUAUGUGGUCACCUGGGUGACAGUUGGGGAACUUAGUUCCACUGCUUGGGUUAACCUGGGCAAUUUGUCGAACAUGAUGAGAACAUGUGUUUUCUUUUUUAUGAAAAAUUUCCAUAUUGAGACGCUCCAAUUCAUUUUGCUUUUUGUUUCCGUAGGCUAAAAAAAUGUCGAUGACUAGAAAAAGAAAACUGUUGAGGUUCGAUCUUCUGCUUGGGAAAUUUCAGAGGCAGCGAAAGCAUUUCUGAGUAAAUUAUAACAAUAAUUAUUUUGUUCUAAUCCAACUCCUUUUUUUUUCCUAGUCCAGUUGAUGGGCUUUGAAGAACAUUAGGGGUUUGAAGAACAUUAGAAAUUCACUUGGUUGAGUUUAUUUUUUAGUUUAUUGUUGACAGAAUUCACUCGGACUUGAGUUGGUUACUUGUUCAAUGUAGUCAGAUUUUUGGAAGGAAUAUCAUAAAUUGUGACCUGCCAAAUUGUCAAUCCACUCUUUGAAGAUUUCAAAACUUAACUGAAUUCAUUUAUGAAAUCUUUGUUUAUUUGAGUGGGACUCUUUAUUUUUAGUAUUCCGAUUUUACAUUACUAGUGUUUUGAUUAAACCAAGCUAGUUUUUAAUCUAGCUUGUUCAGAACACCUCUUAUUCCAAUAUUUAUUGUUCUUGAUUGCACUUGUCAAGUGUGUUUUGGUAUGUUAACUAUGGUGAAAUGUUUUUGCAGCUAUUUAAUAUCAGCGAGGAAGUAGUAAUUGAUGCUACAAAUAAAGGAAAUGUACAACCCUUUUGAGAACGUGAUGAUAUCUUCGCAUAUCGAUAUUAGAGUUUACAAUCUUAUUUAUUUAUU
Molecule: non-coding RNA, 2721 nt
Organism: Camellia sinensis
Lineage: Eukaryota; Viridiplantae; Streptophyta; Magnoliopsida; Ericales; Theaceae
Source: RefSeq, a predicted model, not a curated record